RNAcentral lists this long non-coding RNA (269 nucleotides) under Elaeis guineensis (African oil palm). RNAcentral describes it as "long non-coding RNA (EGUI_LNC034650)". The record is from RNAcentral. Lineage: Eukaryota; Viridiplantae; Streptophyta; Magnoliopsida; Arecales; Arecaceae.
UGCAUAUUGGGAUCAUGGUGAUAGGUUCUCUUUCACAUGAAGGGUUGGGUAGUUAUUUUAUUUCCACUGUGCCUUUUGUUGAUGAAUAGAUUAGACAUUUUCUUCUCUUCCAAUUCUAUUUAAUUAAUAUGAUUAAUUAAAAUCAUGUGAAGUCUUUUUAAUUAAUAUAAUUAAUUAAAAUAUGUGCGAGAAAUCUAACUGAUCUUUCAAGUGGCAUCAGAUCUAGGUUGAGGGUUUAGGGUUAAUUUAAGAUCAUCCUGACAUAAAGU